GCCGUAAUAGUCUGGUGGUUAGGACAUUGCGUUGUGACCGCAUGGACCGAGGUUCGAGUCCUGGUCACGGCG
This 72-nucleotide transfer RNA is filed under the name Fasciola gigantica. It matches the Rfam family "tRNA". From Rfam's summary of the family: Transfer RNA (tRNA) molecules are approximately 80 nucleotides in length. Their secondary structure includes four short double-helical elements and three loops (D, anti-codon, and T loops). Further hydrogen bonds mediate the characteristic L-shaped molecular structure. tRNAs have two regions of fundamental functional importance: the anti-codon, which is responsible for specific mRNA codon recognition, and the 3' end, to which the tRNAs corresponding amino acid is attached (by aminoacyl-tRNA synthetases). tRNAs cope with the degeneracy of the genetic code in two manners: having more than one tRNA (with a specific anti-codon) for a particular amino acid; and 'wobble' base-pairing, i.e. permitting non-standard base-pairing at the 3rd anti-codon position. The record is from Rfam by way of RNAcentral. Lineage: Eukaryota; Metazoa; Platyhelminthes; Trematoda; Plagiorchiida; Fasciolidae.